GACGAACGCUGGCGGCGUGCCUAACACAUGCAAGUCAAGGCGGUAGCAAUACCGACUGGCGCACGGGUGCGGAACACGUAGGUAAUCUGCCCUUCAGGGGAGAACAACUCAUCGAAAGGUGAGCUAAAUCUCCGUAAUGUUUUACUGUGGCAUCACAGUUUAACCAAACUUUCUGAGGGAUGAGCCUGCGUCUGAUUAGCUAGUUGGUGAGGUAACUGCUCACCAAGGCUACGAUCAGUAGCUGGUCUGAGAGGAUGAUCAGCCACAUUGGGACUGAGACACGGCCCAGACUCCUACGGGAGGCAGCGGUGAGGAAUAUUGCACAAUGGGCGCAAGCCUGAUCCAGCCACGCCGCGUGAGUGAUGAA
Molecule: ribosomal RNA, 367 nt
Filed under: uncultured bacterium
Lineage: Bacteria
Description: bacterial SSU rRNA
Rfam family: Bacterial small subunit ribosomal RNA
Source: RNAcentral